Molecule: non-coding RNA, 424 nt
Organism: Poecilia reticulata (guppy)
Lineage: Eukaryota; Metazoa; Chordata; Actinopteri; Cyprinodontiformes; Poeciliidae
Source: RefSeq, a predicted model, not a curated record
CUGGAGAUGUAGGUAUUAAUUUAUCGCGGAGCACCACAUAACAGGUUGUACCUUCGCAUAUCUUAUAAAAUAAUCACGGUGGGCCACCAUAACCAAAAACGCCAACGCCAUCUUUUGGGUCCCAAGGCUUACUUGUAGCAUCCUGAGGAGCACAACAUCAACGCUGACCCAGUUAGGAUGCUCUACCAGCCAUGUGCAACCGAGCAAACAGCCAACGCCCUGGAGAAUGAAAUCGUUGGCGUGCACACCUGGUGCCUACCACACUAAUGAGCCAGGCAACGCUGCAAACGGAAAGACGGAAGGCGGGUGGCAGGCGGAGGGGAGCCGAGGUGUGUUCAUGGGCCCAGCACGGGUGGAAAAUUGCAACUACCACCACAUAAAUACUACUUCAAAAAUCAAUAAAACAACAUCAUUUUUUUAUUUA